This 741-nucleotide ribosomal RNA is filed under the name uncultured archaeon. Its description in RNAcentral is "bacterial SSU rRNA". It matches the Rfam family "Archaeal small subunit ribosomal RNA", at positions 54 to 799 of the family's 1478-position model. The record is from RNAcentral.
CGAGUUGAGAGGGGUAAGCCCUCGGCAUAUUGCUCAGCAACACGCGGAUAACCUGCCCUUGGGUUUGGGGUAACCCCGGGAAACUGGGACUAAUACCGGAUAGAUCAAAGAUACUGGAAUGUUCUUUGUUCGAAAGCUCCGGCGCCCAAGGAUGGGUCUGCGGCCUAUCAGGUAGUAGUGGGUGUAACGUACCUACUAGCCUACGACGGGUAAGGGUUGUGAGAGCAAGAGCCCUGAGAUGGAUUCUGAGACAUGAAUCCAGGCCCUACGGGGUGCAGCAGGCGCGAAAACUUUACACUGCGGGAAACCGCGAUAAGGGGACCCCGAGUGCCAGCACCUAGUGCUGGCUGUCCAGCUGUUCAAAUAACAGUUGUUAGCAAGGGCCGGGCAAGACCGGUGCCAGCCGCCGCGGUAACACCGGCGGCCCGAGUGGUAGCCGUUAUUAUUGGGUUUAAAGGGUCCGUAGCCGGCCUAUUAAGUCUCUUGGGAAAUCUGGCGACUCAAUCGUCAUGCGUUCAAGAGAUACUGGUAGGCUUGGGACCGGGAGAGGUGGGAGGUACUCCAGGGGUAGGGGUGAAAUCUCGUAAUCCUUGGGGGACCACCGAUGGCGAAGGCAUCCCACCAGAACGGGUCCGACGGUGAGGGAUGAAAGCUGGGGGAGCGAACCGGAUUAGAUACCCGGGUAGUCCCAGCUGUAAACGAUGCAGACUAGGUGUUUGAACGGCCACGUGCCGUUCUAGU